RNAcentral lists this ribosomal RNA (569 nucleotides) under uncultured Glomeromycotina. Its description in RNAcentral is "SSU rRNA". It matches the Rfam family "Eukaryotic small subunit ribosomal RNA", at positions 548 to 1114 of the family's 1831-position model. The record is from RNAcentral. Lineage: Eukaryota; Fungi; Glomeromycota.
UUGGAGGGCAAGUCUGGUGCCAGCAGCCGCGGUAAUUCCAGCUCCAAUAGCGUAUAUUAAAGUUGUUGCAGUUAAAAAGCUCGUAGUUGAAUUUCGGGAUUCUACCGUUGGUCGGGCUAACAAGUCUGUACUGGUGUGUAGAAUUUCUACCUUCUGGGGAACUAUCAUGUUAUUAAUUUAGCGUGGUGGGAAACCAGGACCUUUACCUUGAAAAAAUUAGAGUGUUCAAAGCAGGCUUACGUCUGAAUACAUUAGCAUGGAAUAAUAGAAUAGGACGGUGGUCCUGUUUUGUUGGUUUCUGAAUCACCGUAAUGAUUAAUAGGGAUAGUUGGGGGCAUUAGUAUUCAAUUGUCAGAGGUGAAAUUCUUGGAUUUAUUGAAGACUAACUUCUGCGAAAGCAUUUGCCAAGGAUGUUUUCAUUAAUCAAGAACGAAAGUUAGGGGAUCGAAGACGAUCAGAUACCGUCGUAGUCUUAACCAUAAACUAUGCCGACUAGGGGGAUCGGGACGAUGUUAAAUUUUAUUGACUCGUUCGGCGCCUUACGGGGAAACCAAAGUGUUUAGGGGUUC